GACGAACGCUGGCGGCGUGCUUAACACAUGCAAGUCGAACGAUGAUCAGGAGCUUGCUCCUGUGAUUAGUGGCGAACGGGUGAGUAACACGUGAGUAACCUGCCCCUGACUCUGGGAUAAGCGUUGGAAACGACGUCUAAUACUGGAUAUGAUCACUGGCCGCAUGGUCUGGUGGUGGAAAGAUUUUUUGGUUGGGGAUGGACUCGCGGCCUAUCAGCUUGUUGGUGAGGUAAUGGCUCACCAAGGCGACGACGGGUAGCCGGCCUGAGAGGGUGACCGGCCACACUGGGACUGAGACACGGCCCAGACUCCUACGGGAGGCAGCAGUGGGGAAUAUUGCACAAUGGGCGCAAGCCUGAUCCAGCCAUACCGCGUGGGUGAAGAAGGCCUUCGGGUUGUAAAGCCCUUUUGUUGGGAAAGAAAAGCAGCAGGUUAAUACCCCGCUGUUCUGACGGUACCCAAAGAAUAAGCACCGGCUAACUUCGUG
This 487-nucleotide ribosomal RNA is filed under the name uncultured bacterium. Its description in RNAcentral is "partial 16S ribosomal RNA". It matches the Rfam family "Bacterial small subunit ribosomal RNA", at positions 28 to 507 of the family's 1533-position model. The record is from RNAcentral.